GGUGGAUCUGCUGAUCAGUAGCUUUCUUCCAGAUAUCAUGCUUCCCCUACACCCAUCCAGUCCAGGUUCUCCUCUGGCAACCUAAGCCCAUUUCAGGUGGGCACAGAAAUCCAGCCCAGGUUAUCUGGAUAGCCCUGGGCUGCCCCAGGGAUUGAGACCAGACCAGAGGUCAUGCGACAUUUUCUUCAAUGAUCUGGAAGUAAACAUAAAAUUGCUGCUGAUAAGAUGUGCAGACCGCGUGAAGCGAUGGGGAAACCGAGGCAAUGAGCAGCAGUGCAACUGCUCCAAGUUAGAAGCACAAUCUGGAGUAGAACCCAGGAGGCCUGUACUUUGAGUGGUGUCCGCAGCUUUUGGGACCUGCCCUCAUCUCCCUUCACCCCGGGGACUCCGGUGAGAGCAGAGCUGGUUCUGUGGAACAAGGUUUGCUCCUGGGAAGCUUAUCCAAGUGUAACCGAGGGAUCUCAAGGGGAAGCCUCUGCAGACCACCCAUCAGCAGGAUGUCGGGGUGCUACUGGAGCUUCGCCCAGGAACUGCUCAUUGUGGCACAUUGGGUCCAGGCUUUGUGAAGUGGGCCUCCCCUGCUGUGGAGAGGUUCAUGAAGCUGAUCAUGUUUGACACUGGGCCUCUCUGAAGCGAAAAGCUGGCGCCUUGACCUCUCUGUACCUCCCUGGGCCACCAAGUGCUGUUUGCUAGAGGACUGCCUCCUGAGGGAGGCCACUUAUGAGCCCAGAAAAAUAUGGAGAAGUAACAGGAUGGAUGGGAAGACAGGAAAAGGGACAGCGUGGAGAUGGACUGAUGUGGUGGUCUGAGGGGUGAUGGGAUGGAAGGAGGAGGGGUGAUGGGAUGGAAGAAGGUGUGCUGGGAUGAGGCAGACUGGAGUCUGUCUAAAUAACAGUAUACCUGACGUCUCUGUGUGGCCUACGGCUCUUUCUCUGAGGGGUUUCCCUCUCCCACUGGAGUGGGAGCGAGGUGCUGCUUGGGGUGAGAGUUAAUGAUGGCACCAGUUCUGAGACUAACCACAAAAGCAAAACUUUGGACGUGCCGACCGGGCAUUUCCCCACGUUCCAGGGGGCUGCAGAGCUCUCUCCUGGCGAGAUGCCCCUUGCACCAGGCCCAUGCAUCUUGUACGUCCCUCUGAAGCUCUUGGGGGUAGGAAAUGGAGCACGGUCCUCAUGCUGCCCCUCUGUAUGGGGUGAAUUCUCCUUCCCGGGCAGAGCCAGUCUCCUGCCAACCAGACUGGCAGUGCCCAGUCUAAGCUUCCACAACAUGCUAAUCCAGGGCUCAGCCUCCUGCGCAGGUGCUUCCUGAUUUCCUAUCCCUGCUUUACAGCGGCUUCGGUUAAAUUAAUUGGCAAUUACCAAAGGUCCAUAAAAAAAACCAGACAAGUGUUUCCUUGGAAAGGAGGCUGCGUCCUCAGCCAUAUUUCCUUCAUCCCUCAUUGAUCCCUCAGCCUCCUCCAGUCACUUAGCAGCCUCUGGGAGGUGUGAUUAUUCCGUCCCUGACAAACACCUAUUUAUCUGGGGGCAGCUGCUGUAAAGACUUGGGGACGUAGGGUAAUGUAGGCACCUUCCCCAGCAUCCGCUAUUCAUCCUGCGGAUGGAGAGUUCUUCACUCUCUCUCAUCUGCUGCCAUAGCUCAUUAGGGGUCUUUGCUCGCUCUUUAGAUGGGUGCCUGAGGUGAGGAGCUGGCUGGGCUUGGAAAUUCAUCUGCAUUGUUUCUCCAAGGAGUAGCAUAGUUUGCAUUACAGACAUUUCUAGAGGGUAAAACUGAGUGGAUAAGACACGGGGGAAGGACUUAGCAGACCUGGAUGCUAUUCCCUGUUUGACCUUAAGCAAGACUCUUCUCAUCUCUGUUCCUCAGUUUCCUAUCUGUAGAGUGGGGCUAAUAAUCCUUUGUCUUGUCUAGUUACACUGUGAGCUCUUUGGGGCAGGACCAUCUCGUGCUAUGUGUCACAGCAGGAUCCUGACCUUGAUUGGGGUAGCUAGAUGUUAGUGUACAAGAAAUGAGGUGGCAGACUCAUCCUUUAGAUCAUUUGAAACUGGUCGGAGCUAACAAUCCUGCGCUGGCCCUCCAGGAGAUGGGGCCUGGACUAGAUUAGAUGGGAGCUAACAGCUCUCUUUGCACCUGUAAUUUAAAAGGAAUGGUCCUGGUCACUCUGGAGUUAUCCCCAGCCCUGCUGCAACUCAGAUAGGGAUGGUGGGCCCUGCCUCUGGGUCACUGUAUUUUCACAGCAGGAGACAAGGGAAGGUCCCAGCUUGGGCUGGCUGUAUCCCUUUAAGAAGCAUGUGGGCUCCUGAGAAUCCCAUCCUCUUCCCAGCAACUUGCCAGCAGGAUGACUUGCGAUGGCUUGGCAGACCUUGCGAUCCUGAGACAGGUGGCCUUGGCAGACUCUGCUAGAUGGCCAGAUUGAUUCUUCCUGGUGUCGCUUUCCCUCCCAUCUUUCUUCCCUUCCACCAGGUGUUUCUGAGCCAUGUAGGCAGACUGUACCGUAGUGAUUGGCAAGGGUAAAGGAAGCUUUACAGCACCCCUUAGAAUGCUCUCCCCAAUUCAUAACCUCCUGCUCUCCCCUGGAAAGGGAGACCGACAUUCCUCUGACAAUGUGAAAGGAGCUCUGCUCUCCUGAAGAUCUAUACCUCCUGAUUGCCGGAGCCCCACGGUUACCAAUCAGUGGAGCUGAAGUCGGAUAAGAUCGGGGCCCAGGACUGAUGAGAGAACAUUAAGUAGUGCUCUGAUUGAUAUGUGGAUAGCUGGUAAUCCAUGCAAUCAGCUCUUUGGGAAUCAAUUAAGGGGAGUGAGGUCAGCACUGGAAAUAGAACGGUUGUUAAUCAGCGAGGCUGCAGCAGGGCGGGGGAUAACCAGGGGAUCCGGUGCCACAUCCCUCUGUAUGAAGGGCACAAGCAAAGGGAAUUAGUGGUGCGAGACAUCCAGCGGUAUUGGGGUUAAAGAAACAAGUCUGGUUGCUGUUGCUAAGAUGCCUUUUGCCAUAUGCAUUGAUUCUGGAAGAAGUUAGGAAAUCCCUCCACGCUUGCUACAAGCAGGUCAGCUAAAACAAGGAGUUGCACCCAAAUGCAGGAAUGAGCUCCUCUCCCAAGCCCUGGUUAGAGGUACACAAGCACACAGACAUAGGAGCUACCAGACUGGAUCAGAGCAGGACUCCAUCUAAUCCAGAAUCCUGUCUCUGAGAGUGGCCAGCCCCAGCUGCUUCAGACGAAUCGUGAAGAAACCUCACCUAAUAGACAGUUCUGGAAUAACCUGGCCAGAGGGGCAAUUUCUUUCUGACCUCUGCCAGUCAGUGGCUGCCUCUUGCCCUGAAGCAGGAAGGUUUAUG
Molecule: long non-coding RNA, 3328 nt
Organism: Chelonia mydas (Green sea turtle)
Lineage: Eukaryota; Metazoa; Chordata; Testudines; Cheloniidae
Exons: 3
Source: RefSeq, a predicted model, not a curated record